UAGAAUCCACACUCUUGGCUUGGGGGCGC
RNAcentral lists this non-coding RNA (29 nucleotides) under Rattus norvegicus (Norway rat). Lineage: Eukaryota; Metazoa; Chordata; Mammalia; Rodentia; Muridae. The record is from RNAcentral.